This 23-nucleotide non-coding RNA is filed under the name Arabidopsis thaliana (thale cress). Lineage: Eukaryota; Viridiplantae; Streptophyta; Magnoliopsida; Brassicales; Brassicaceae. The record is from RNAcentral.
CCGGCGUUUGUUUUGCAUCCGGU